GAGUUUGAUCAUGGCUCAGAUUGAACGCUGGCGGCAUGCCUUACACAUGCAAGUCGAACGGCAGCACGGGAGCUUGCUCCUGGUGGCGAGUGGCGAACGGGUGAGUAAUGCAUCGGAACGUAUCCUGGAGUGGGGGAUAACGUAGCGAAAGUUACGCUAAUACCGCAUAUUCUGUGAGCAGGAAAGCGGGGGACCUUCGGGCCUCGCGCUCUUGGAGCGGCCGAUGUCGGAUUAGCUAGUUGGUGAGGUAAAGGCUCACCAAGGCGACGAUCCGUAGCAGGUCUGAGAGGAUGAUCUGCCACACUGGAACUGAGACACGGUCCAGACUCCUACGGGAGGCAGCAGUGGGGAAUUUUGGACAAUGGGGGCAACCCUGAUCCAGCCAUGCCGCGUGAGUGAAGAAGGCUUUCGGGUUGUUAAAGCUCUUUCGCGAGGGAGAAAUUGCACCGGACAAUACCUGGUGUAGAUGACGGUA
Molecule: ribosomal RNA, 475 nt
Filed under: bacterium enrichment culture clone ALO1_GLFRUDD03HBL7V
Lineage: Bacteria
Description: bacterial SSU rRNA
Rfam family: Bacterial small subunit ribosomal RNA
Source: RNAcentral